Thalassophryne amazonica is the source of this 390-nucleotide long non-coding RNA. RefSeq lists it as uncharacterized. The transcript is spliced from 3 exons. The record is from RefSeq and is a predicted model, not a curated record. Lineage: Eukaryota; Metazoa; Chordata; Actinopteri; Batrachoidiformes; Batrachoididae.
CUUAUUCUCUAUAUUACCCUCCUAUUCUGCACGCUUUACUUGCAUUAAUUGCACAUGUUUGAACUCAUUACAUGUAUAAAAGACACGUGUCCACACACUAAAUCAAUCACACUCCAACCUACCAUGGCCAAGACCAAAGACCUGUUUAAGGACACCAGGGACAACAUUGUAGACCUGCACAAGGCUGGGAUGGGCUACAGGAUAACAGACAAGCAGCUUGGUGAGAAGGCAACAACUGUUGCUGUAAUUAUUAGAAAAUGAAAGAAACACAAGAUAAACUGUCAAUCUUCCUCGGUCUGGGACUCCAUGCAAGAGCUCACCUCUUGAAAUAAGGAUGAUGCUGCGAAAGCCCAGAAAUACAUGGGAGGACCUGGUCAGUGACAUGAAGAG